This is a long non-coding RNA of Gallus gallus (chicken), 528 nucleotides long. Lineage: Eukaryota; Metazoa; Chordata; Aves; Galliformes; Phasianidae. The record is from Ensembl.
UGCUAAACUACCACGCUCACUCAGGCGCUCAGAUGCCAUCAAGCUCUAAAGAAAAGUCUUUGUGCCUACAUCUGCGAUUACGUGUGAAUGAAAAGAACAGCUGUGACCUCCCUCGUACUUUGAAAGGGCUCUGACAAACACAAACAAAUUCAACUUAACAAAAAAAAAGUCUUGAGUUCAUUCAUUUUGCAUGUGUAAGGACCUGCAGAAUUAAUUAUUACAUUCAAGACUAAUCGUGAAAGAGCAGCUAAGGCCUCUGAACUCAGCUGGAGACGGAGGCUGCUUCCUCCCUACCCAACAUCACUGUGCUGAUCAUGUCCUUCUGCAGGGCAGCUGCACUCAGCUUCUGCUGAACUGCGUGCUCAAUAUGGGAUGUGGAAGAGAUGAAACUAUGGGUGCUGGGAGAGGAGUCUGGACAUAAGAAAUAAUGUCAUCAAUAUUCUGUUGGGGAGGGAGAUAAGAAAGGAAAAUGAAGUAAUUAAUUCAUAAUUUACUGACACAUUUUUCUUGGCCUGUGGAAUUUUAAUG